UCAAUGCAACAGUAAACGCUAAGCACAAUCAGCUUAAUAACUUCACUUGGCACUUGUAUGGAGUGAAUUAUCAAUCAUUUUCUAUUGAUUAGAUCCUCGUCUUGCAGAGCAGAGUCGAGUGCUCAGAUUUUCAUUAAUACAUUUUGUUAGCCAUACUUUUUGAACUUUUGGAAGCAGCCUUAUGCAGAACUUUGGCACGCACGGGGACCUAAGCAAAAGUAUACAUAUUGUGAUGUCUUCCGAAGUCCAAUAAAGCAUCUCACAACAUCAAAAUCCCAAUGCUAAAACCAAUUCUUCAUGCUGCAAGAACAUUGAAUGAAAAGCUGACCAAACAUCUUUAAGUGAAAACUUGUCGGAAUAAAUCCUUAAAACAACAUCUCUUGUACUCCAUUUUCAGCCAUCUUCUCCAGGUCUUCCUGUGACAGCAAUGUUUUCCUACCGCCAGUGCCUGUUUUAUCAUAUGGUUGAGCCAUCUUCCUGAGAAACUCGCGUGCAAUAUGCAAAGCCAUGUCAGUGCUCAAAUUCAAGUUUGCAUCACGUAAAUGCGACAGUAUCCAACCAGGCAAUUUUGAGCGCUUGUCAUGACGGCUAUAUCUUUUAUCAGCAAAUAUCAUCAUUCCAUAAUCAGCCUUUGACCUGAUCACUCGGCCCACACAUUGAGCAGCUUGUCUCAAGGCAUCAAAUGUUAGGAAAUCGCCCUCCUUUAUUUGAAAUGUGUCCCGUAGAUACUCCAACCGUGCAAUUAAUAUUUUGCUUAAGGUAUAUUGGAAAGGAAUACCAAACAUGAUCACUAAUCUACCAUAGUGUCGAUCAAAGUCUAUUCCUUCGGCUACUUUUCCCCUGGCAACGGAGAAAAAGACUGCACCUCUCCCACAAUCACAAGCCCUGCGAUAGUUGUCAAGAGCCAAUGUAGUUUCUACCACAUCUUGGGUCUCAAUAAAUACAAGCUUAUGUUGCAUUAUUUCCUUAAGAACUCCAGUUUCAUUCCAGCUGUUGAUAAUUCCAUCCAUGUAAGAGUAACUGACAAAAAAGCAUACAAUUCCAUCUGGAACAACAGAUACCAUCUCCACCAACAGCUUCCCAUAGUUUCUUGCAACACCUGGAUCACUUCUCAUAUCAAAUUUGGUACUUACUGGAAGUUGGUCACUUCCACGAGUGAGAACCAUAGGGCAUAUGCAAUCUCUUGUCAAGGACAUUGUAAAGCUUCGACUGACAACAGGAUGGAAGUUAAGAAGACGAGGGUAGAGGUCAAUAGGGCUCAGCGUUCCAGAAGUAAUCACAACUGACUGGAACCUAUCAAAUACUGGCUUUAUGGCAAGAGAAGCAUCAUGGCAGCUAAGCUGCAAUACAGGGUCAGGAAUAUGUGGCAUUCUCUCAUCAAAAGGUUCAAUUAUGAUGGAAAAUCCACGACUAUAUGUCCCCACAAGUGUUGCAAAGUCACAUA
This 1444-nucleotide unclassified non-coding RNA is filed under the name Hevea brasiliensis (rubber tree). The record is from RNAcentral. Lineage: Eukaryota; Viridiplantae; Streptophyta; Magnoliopsida; Malpighiales; Euphorbiaceae.